This is a non-coding RNA of Podarcis lilfordi (Lilford's wall lizard), 3715 nucleotides long. NCBI's taxonomy places the organism in Eukaryota, Metazoa, Chordata, Lepidosauria, Squamata, Lacertidae. The record is from the annotation of a GenBank genome assembly.
AGAACUCCGCCCAUCUCAUGUGCCUCUGGCUCUGGAGCUUCGCCGUGCGCCAAUACUCUAGGUUCUUGUGGUCCGUGCGGACCUGCACGGUGUGCUUGGCUCCGAUGAGGAAGUGCCGCCACGCCUUGAAAGCCGCGUGGAUGGCCAGCAACUCCCUGUCCCAGAUGGUGUAGUUCUGUUCCGACUUGCUGAGCUUCCGGGAAUAGAAAGCGCAGGGCCUCCAGUUCUCUUGCGAAUCUUCCUGCAAGAGGACGGCCCCCACUGCUCUGUCAGAUGCGUCAGUCUCAACCCGCAUGGGCCUGCCGGGAUUCACGUGUAGCAGCUGGUCUUCGGACGCGAAGAGACUCUUAAGUCUCCUGAAGGACUGCUCCGCCUGGUCCGUCCAGGUGAACUUUUUCUUCUUGGAACUGAGGGUGUCCGUGAUAGCUGCCGUCUCUUUCGCGAAACCCCUGAUGAACUUGCGGUAAAAGUUGGCGAAGCCGACAAACCGCUGGACCUCCUUCCGAUUGCGCGGGCUAUUCCAGUCCAACACCGCGCGGACCUUGGCGCUGUCCAUGGCUAAUCCCUUGUCGGACAGCCGGUAGCCCAGGAAAUCCACCUCCGUCACGUCGAACUGGCACUUCUCCAGCUUGGCGUAGAGUCUGUGCUCCCGUAGCCUCUGCAGGACCUCCUUUACGUCUCUUUCGUGAGUCUCCUGCGAUUCCGAGAAGAUCAGAAUAUCGUCGAGAAAACAUACGCACUUCUUGUAGAGGAGUCCUGCUAGCACGUGGUGCAUGAAUGCUUGAAAACAGUGGGAGCCACCUUGGAGACCAAGCGGCAUAACUCUGUAUUCAUAGGUGCCCAGCGGCGUGAACAUGGCCGUCUUCCACUCGUCACCUUCCCUCAUGCGUAUGAGAUUGUAGGCUCCGCGUAGAUCCAACUUGGUGAAGAUCCUCCCCUUCCUCACCGUCGCGAGCAGGUCGUCAAUCUUGGGCAUGGGGAAAGCCUUGGGUUUUGUCAUCGAGUUUAUGGCCCUAUAGUCCACAAUGAGCCGUUUUUGGGGCGUGUCCUUCUUCUUCACGAAAAACACAGGACUGCCCCCACUGCCUUGGAUUCUCGGAUGAAUCCCCGCUUCAAAUUGUGAUCUAUGAACUCCCUGAGCUCCUGCAUCUCAUCUUCAGACAUGGAAUACAGCUUCGCAGUCGGCAGCGUCGCCCCUGGUAAGAGGUCAAUUGCACAGUCGUAGGGCCGGUGGGGUGGUAAUUGGUCAGCUUCCUUCUCGCAGAAGACCUCCAAAAACCCCUUGUACUUGUGGGGCACUGCCUGCACCAUGCCUAGAUGCAGCUGUUGCCCUUCCUCCUGGCCCUCCUCGUCCUGGCCGAUCUGGAUGCAAUGUUGUGCACAGUAGGACGAGCCAAAGGUGAGCUGCCGCUGGUACCACGCCAAGGAUGGGCUGUGUCUAUCCAGCCAACUCAUGCCUAACACUAUGGGCGUGUCUGACAGUUGGGUGACAUUGAAACUGAUGACCUCGCGAUGAUUCCCAAUUUUCAGCAGCAUGGGUGGCGUCUGUUGUACCACUUGCCCACCCAGCAACUUCCUGCCAUCUACAGUGACCACAUUCAGAGGCAGCGUGGCUGGUAGUAGCGCUAUGCGAUGCUGCUUGACGAACUGCACCCCCGAAGUCUGCGUUGCUCCCUGAGUCAAUCGUAAUGGGGACUUCCAGGGUGAGUCCAUUAGGCAGCUGGAGAGUAGCAGUGAGCUGCACCACUGGCUUAGGUGGUAAGGGGUCUGUAGGCUGCAAAGCGCUGGGGACUGCUUCACUGACUUGCCUGGCGGAGCCCCAGCGUCUCUCCCUCCAACCAGGCAUUCUCGUUUCCCUGAAACUGCUCCCCUUGGAAAGCUUCCCCUGUUACUGUUGCUAAGGCUGCAGUGUGCUUCUGGAGCCUCUGGGGACACUCUUUAGCCAUGUGCCGUGCACUGUCACAGAUGUAACACUUCCUGGUCCCUCUAGGAGGCUUCGCUUUGACUGCUCCUGACGCUGAGGCUCCGGCAGCUGUCUGAGCCUUUGCACCACCCAGUUCCAUCGGUUCUUCGCCCGCUGCCAGCACAGGCGAAAGGCUUGAACGUUCCAAGUCCCUGGAAGGAAAAGGAGGCGCUCUAGCUGGUGGGCGGACGUGACGCCCCUCCUCCCUGUGCCAAGGGCGUUCUUCUUGGCGCACCCCUAUCGUGAGUGCCCUCUGCACGACUUCUGCUAGGGUUUGAGGUCUGUCCCCCUAGCCAGCUCAUCUUUCACUGAGCCAUGAAGCCCUUCCCAAAACAAGUCCCUCACUGCCAGGGAGUCCUUUUCCCAGCCCAGCACAUUCAGCAAUGCAAAAAAGCGAGAAUGGUACUGACGCACUGUAGCCUUGCCCUGCCGCAAUCCAUGCAUCUCCUGGCGUGCCACAUCAACGUCAACAGUAGAUUGGAAGCAAGCGUCCAUGGCUUUGAGAAAUUCAUCAGAGUCCCUGCGUGCAAGACCAUCUUCGCGCCACAAAUUGCGUAACCAGUUUCUUGCUUCCCCAUGCAGAUGAGACACAAUAAACCCCACUUUUUCCUCCUCAUCUUUGAAGUCUUUUCGAAGCAAAUGCAGUGCGUAUACGACGUCUGCUCUGAAAUUGGGAUAAUGCUUCAGGUUCCCAUCGAAGUGGGCUACUAAAUUGCCCCCCCUCCGUCCGAGUCCGAUUCCCUCUGAUCUGGACCCCGGGAACCCCUCUCUGCACGCCCGAUCCCACCUGGCUUGCAGAUCCUGGCAUCGCGCUUCUGCUUCAGCAACUGUCUUCUGAGAAACCACGACAGCAGUGGAGAGCUCGGUGACUGCGUUUUGCAGGGACGCUAUCUGCUCCUCAGUAGUCAUUGCUGCCAAACUUCGUGAGCUGUGCAACAAAAUGUUGCGGUUUUUUGUUUUGAGAGGGGACUUACUGUCAAGGCUGCCUCAAGUCUUAGCUCACAAAAGACCAACGCCUAUGUCUUCUUAUAUACAAAGGUGUUUAUUGCAGUUCAUGGUUUGCUUGACAUCCUAGGCGCGCAGCCUUACGUCUCUUACGCUAGACCGCUGAAGUCCCCUCUGAGUCAGUCCCUCCCCUGCACCAAUUUAAGAGACUUGCGCUGCUCCACCUCUUUCUCUCCUUCCUUUUCCGCAGGGUCCUUCUGCCCGCUGGGGUUUCGCCCCUCCUGGAUUCCUCUGACGCGGAAUCAGACUGCUCUUCCCCCCCUCCUGCGGGCUUUGGGACCUGGCCCCUCCUCCGGGCUCCCUGCACUUCCGCGCGCCUCUACAUUUGAACUAGGCGCGCGCGCCAACCCUCUAACUUUCCUUUUGACAGUUACACUACUCCCUUCACUGCUCCCCUCCCUUCCGGGAGGGCGGCUUGCUCUGACCCCCUCCUUUCUCUGCUGCUGGAGCUGCUUCCUCUGACACACUGGAAACUCCACCCCCUUCGCUGCACUCUGGUGGGGAGGCUGGUCCUGACGCCCAGCUGCCACUUUGGGAUCCUCCGCUGGCACCCUGCUCCUGACACUUCCCCCCUGGGGCUCCCUGGCCUUGACCACCGGCGCCCCCUUCUGGGAAUCCUCUGAUUCGCUGGAAAGACUCAUGGAAUCUCUUGAGUCAUUGUCAUCCUCUUCCUCGCUGGCUUGGAAUUCCUCCCCAUCGCUCUCCAUCUCCUGCCUACCCUGUGCCUCUCUCCCUGAACCCCUGACA